RNAcentral lists this ribosomal RNA (429 nucleotides) under Actinomycetes bacterium. RNAcentral describes it as "Actinobacteria bacterium partial 16S ribosomal RNA". It matches the Rfam family "Bacterial small subunit ribosomal RNA", at positions 355 to 776 of the family's 1533-position model. Lineage: Bacteria; Bacillati; Actinomycetota; Actinomycetes. The record is from RNAcentral.
UAGGGAAUCUUCCGCAAUGGGCGAAAGCUUGACGGAGCAACGCCGCGUGAGAGAUGAAGGUCUUCGGAUCGUAAAACUCUGUUAUUAGGGAAGAACAAAUGUGUAAGUAACUAUGCACGUCUUGACGGUACCUAAUCAGAAAGCCACGGCUAACUACGUGCCAGCAGCCGCGGUAAUACGUAGGUGGUAAGCGUUAUCCGGAAUUAUUGGGCGUAAAGCGCGUGUAGGCGGUUUUUUAAGUCUGAUGUGAAAGCCCACGGCUCAACCGUGGAGUAUCAUUGGAUACUCGAACACUUGAGUGCAGAAGAGGAAAGUGGAAUUCCUUGUGUCUCGGUGAUAUACACAUAUAUAUGGAGGAACACCAGUGGCGAAAGCGACUUUCUGGUCUCUAACUGACGCUGAUAUGCGACAGCAUGGGGAUCAAACAGG